GGUAUUACGGGGGGUGCNAGCGUUANUNGGAAUCNCNUGGGGUAANGAACGCGUAGGCGGAUUAUCNAGUNUUNUGUGNAANUNUAAUGGNUUAACCAUUAAACUGCACAGGAAAACUGGUAGUNUAGAGUAGGGGAGAGGUAGAUGGAAUUNUUAGCGUAGGGGUAAAAUCCGUAGAGGUUAAGAGGAAUACUUAUUGCGAAGGCGAUCUACUAGAACCUAACUGACGCUGAGGCGUGAAAGCGUGGGUAGCAAACAGGAUUAGAUACCCUGGUAGUCCACGCCCUAAACGAUGUAUACUAGUUGUUGCUUUGCAAGUCAAAGCAGUAAUGCAGCUAACGCAUUAAGUAUACCGCCUGGGGAGUACGGUCGCAAGAUUAAAACUCAAAGGAAUAGACGGGGACCCGCACAAGCGGUGGAGCAUGUGGUUUAAUUCG
Molecule: ribosomal RNA, 437 nt
Filed under: uncultured bacterium
Lineage: Bacteria
Description: partial 16S ribosomal RNA
Rfam family: Bacterial small subunit ribosomal RNA
Source: RNAcentral